This 468-nucleotide ribosomal RNA is filed under the name uncultured bacterium. RNAcentral describes it as "partial 16S ribosomal RNA". It matches the Rfam family "Bacterial small subunit ribosomal RNA", at positions 28 to 507 of the family's 1533-position model. The record is from RNAcentral.
GACGAACGCUGGCGGCGUGCUUAACACAUGCAAGUCGAACGGACAGGCCCUGCUCUUGUGGGGUGCUCGAGUGGCGAACGGGUGAGUAACACGUGAGUAACCUGCCCCUGACUUUGGGAUAACUCCAGGAAACUGGGGCUAAUACCGGAUAGGAGCUCCUGCUGCAUGUGGGGGGUUGGAAAGUUUCGGCUGUUGUGGAUGGUCUCGCUGCUUAUCAGCUUGUUUGUGUGGUAGUGGCUGACCAAGGCUUUGACGGGUAGCCGGCCUGAGAGGGUGACCGGCGACAUUGGGACUGAGAUACGGCGCAGAAUCCUACGGGAGGCAGCAGUGGGGAAUAUUGCACAAUGGGCGGAAGCGUGAUGCAGAAACGCCGCGUGCGGGAUGACGGCCUUCGGGUUGUAAACCGCUUUCGACUGUAACGAAGAGUGAGUGACGGUAAUGGGUAAGGAAGCACCGGCUAACUACGUG